AUCUUAAGCAAGGCGAUUGGAUGGUUUUUACUGCAAUGCAUCUUGGGAGUCGUAGUAAAUGGAUCUUUCAACUCACGGUCCAGCGAAUUUUUCAACUCGACACGAGGCAGAUCUUAGCUAGGUAAGUUGUGAUAAACUGUGGGUAAUUUGCAUGUUCACUGAAAUAUUAAUCAGCUGAUAUUAAACUUGAAAUGUUUUCACAGAGCAGUCUGUGUACCAAGAGAACUACUUCUGCAAAGAAAUUAUAAAGCAAAAACCAAACCAUGCCCUUCCUGUCAGGCUCCAAACACCUGCAACAGGAAGACAUGCAGUGGAUGCCUGGGCAGCCUGAACGUAAAGGUGGGAUUGAAAAACAAACAAACAAGAACAGCAACUGGGCUGCCUCUGUUAAAAAAAAACAGAAAUGCGAGCAGGGUGGUCAAUUCAGCCCAGUUAUCAGUAAGGUUUCAAAACUACAUGCCCUGGGCUUCCAGCCAAUUCUGUUUCUUGGACAGUUUGACCGAAAGGGCUGUAUAGUAGGGGACGUGAUCACAUAGAGCCAGCGGAUGGUGCUGCACGUGACAUCCUCAUGAAGAUGAGGAAACUUUAUGAACACCUUCUGAGAAAAUUACAAGCUUCACCUCCUGCUGAAAGUUCUACACCAGCAGCUGGACCAUCCUCUGCUGACAGUGUCGAUGCUGGACCAGUCCCCAGACCCAGAGGCUCUAAACGAGGAAUUUAUUCUUCAUUUAGAGCCUGAACCAACAUCUUCCCUCUGUCAGCCUCCUGUAUCCUCCUCUUCAUCUCUGCUUCCUCCUGCAUCCUCCUCUUCAUCUCCGCUUCCUGCAUUUCCCUCAAUUUCUACGGCGUACACCUCGGAUGUCCCAAACAAAAAAAGGACAAGGAAAGAUUAGAUGUUACGGUAUUGUAAAUAAUGCCAAAAACACUGUACACAGAAGAUUUUCAAAUAUGAAGAGAUAGUAGACAGGAGAGUUGUAAAUGAAAAAGAAGUUAAAGUCAAGUGGAAGCCCUGCUCGAUAUGGUAUGUAGUAACAACUUUGUUGGACCGGAACAGACAUUUAUAUUGUUGAUAAAUAGUUAUCACCUCAGUUUGAAUUCAUGUAUUUGGACUAAAGUAAAUUGGGAGCUUUUAGCUGAGGAGCUUGAUAGCAGUCCACCUCCAAAGUUCAUUAUGAGAUUUGGAGGUGGACAUGGUCAACACUUUUAAGAGUAGGCAUAAGACUUUACUUCUUUAUAGAGCUUAUAGUUAGGGCUGGUUCAGGUCAGCCUUUAGUUAUGCUGUCAUAGGACCAGACUGCUGUGGGUUAGUGUCCCCCCCCCCUCUCUCUCUUUCUUUCUCUCUCUCUCUCUCUCUUUCUCUCUCUCUCUGUGUGUCUGUCUCUUUCAGGGUUAUGCAGGCUCAGUAUUGGUUGAAGAUGCAGUCACAUCUCCUUUUACUAAAAACUCUCCCCCUCUCCCUCACCAUCUUGGCAAAGUGUGGGAUGACACAUGAGAAUCUGCGCAGUUUUACACACAGUAAACCAGAUCCCUGUGUGCGAUCGCACAGUUCAGUUUGUAGUUCAGCAUAAAAGUUCAAAAUAAAAUAUUUACUAUACAUUUCA
This is a long non-coding RNA of Oreochromis niloticus (Nile tilapia), 1601 nucleotides long. RefSeq lists it as uncharacterized. NCBI's taxonomy places the organism in Eukaryota, Metazoa, Chordata, Actinopteri, Cichliformes, Cichlidae. The record is from RefSeq and is a predicted model, not a curated record. The transcript has 7 exons.